GAGCGGUAACAGGUGUAGCAAUACAUGCUGACGAGCGGCGAACGGGUGAGUAAUGCUUCGGAAUCUGCCCAAUGGUGGGGAAUAACCAGCCGAAAGGUUGGCUAAUACCGCAUACGUCCUACGGGAGAAAGCAGGGGAUCGCAAGACCUUGCGCCAAUGGAUGAGCCGAAGUCGGAUUAGCUAGUUGGUAGGGUAACGGCCUACCAAGGCGACGAUCCGUAGCUGGUCUGAGAGGACGACCAGCCACACUGGGACUGAGACACGGCCCAGACUCCUACGGGAGGCAGCAGUGGGGAAUAUUGGACAAUGGGGGAAACCCUGAUCCAGCGACGCCGCGUGUGUGAAGAAGGCCUGCGGGUUGUAAAGCACUUUUAGUGGGGAUGAAAAGUUCAGGGCUAACACCUAUGGAUAUUGACCUAACCCAAAGAAAAAGCACCGGCUAACUAUGUG
Molecule: ribosomal RNA, 450 nt
Filed under: uncultured bacterium
Lineage: Bacteria
Description: bacterial SSU rRNA
Rfam family: Bacterial small subunit ribosomal RNA
Source: RNAcentral